RNAcentral lists this transfer RNA (74 nucleotides) under Thermoprotei archaeon. Its description in RNAcentral is "tRNA-Gly". It matches the Rfam family "tRNA". From Rfam's summary of the family: Transfer RNA (tRNA) molecules are approximately 80 nucleotides in length. Lineage: Archaea; Thermoproteati; Thermoproteota; Thermoprotei. RNAcentral also lists the same sequence under 2 other names. The record is from RNAcentral.
GCGCCGGUGGUCUAGUCUGGUAGGAUGGUGGCCCCCCAAGCCGCUGAACCCGGGUUCGAAUCCCGGCCGGCGCA